UACGUAGGGUGCAAGCGUUGUCCGGAAUUAUUGGGCGUAAAGAGCUCGUAGGCGGUUUGUCGCGUCGAAUGUGAAAACCCGGGGCUCAACCCCGGGCCUGCAUUCGAUACGGGCAGACUAGAGUUCGGUAGGGGAGUCUGGAAUUCCUGGUGUAGCGGUGAAAUGCGCAGAUAUCGGGAGGAACACCGGUGGCGAAGGCGGUUCUCUGGGCCUUACCUGACGCUGAGGAGCGAAAGCGUGGGGAGCGAACAGG
RNAcentral lists this ribosomal RNA (253 nucleotides) under uncultured bacterium. Its description in RNAcentral is "partial 16S ribosomal RNA". It matches the Rfam family "Bacterial small subunit ribosomal RNA", at positions 524 to 776 of the family's 1533-position model. The record is from RNAcentral.